UGGCGGCACGCCUAACACAUGCAAGUCGAACGCAGUAGCAAUACUGAGUGGCAGACGGGUGAGUAACAUGUGGGAAUCUGCCUUGUGGUUCAGGACAACAUUGGGAAACCGAUGCUAAUACUGGAUAAGCCCUUACGGGGAAAGUUUUAAUGCCAUAAGAUGAGCCCGCAUUUGAUUAGUUAGUUGGUGAGGUAAUGGCUCACCAAGACAAUGAUCAAUAGCUGAUCUGAGAGGAUGAUCAGCCACACUGGGACUGAGACACGGCCCAGACUCCUACGGGAGGCAGCAGUGGGGAAUCUUGCACAAUGGAGGAAACUCUGAUGCAGCGAUGCCGCGUGAGUGAAGAAGGCCUUUGGGUUGUAAAGCUCUUUUGUAGGGGAAGAUAAUGACUGUACCCUAAGAAUAAGGUCCGGCUAACUUCGUGCCAGCAGCCGCGGUAAUACGAAGGGACCUAGCGUAGUUCGGAAUUACUGGGCGUAAAGCGCGCGUAGGCCGUUGAGUUAGUUAAUUGUGAAAUCCCAAAGCUUAACUUUGGAACUGCAAUUAAAACUGCUCGACUAGAGUUUGAUAGAGGAAAGCGGAAUACAUAGUGUAGAGGUGAAAUUCGUAGAUAUUAUGUAGAACACCAGUUGCGAAGGCGGCUUUCUGGAUCAACACUGACGCUGAGGCGCGAAAGUAUGGGUAGCAAAGAGGAUUAGAUACCCUCGUAGUCCAUACCAUAAACGAUGAUUGCUAGAUGUUGGAAAUUUAUUUUCAGUAUCGCAGCUAACGCAUUAAGCAAUCCGCCUGGGGAGUACGACCGCAAG
RNAcentral lists this ribosomal RNA (806 nucleotides) under alpha proteobacterium SCGC AAA208-M13. Its description in RNAcentral is "bacterial SSU rRNA". It matches the Rfam family "Bacterial small subunit ribosomal RNA", at positions 37 to 892 of the family's 1533-position model. Lineage: Bacteria; Pseudomonadati; Pseudomonadota; Alphaproteobacteria. The record is from RNAcentral.